AUUGAACGCUGGCGGCAUGCCUUACACAUGCAAGUCGAACGGUAACGGGCCUUCGGGUGCCGACGAGUGGCGAACGGGUGAGUAAUACAUCGGAACGUGCCCGAUCGUGGGGGAUAACGAGGCGAAAGCUUUGCUAAUAUCGCAUACGAUCUACGGAUGAAAGCAGGGGACCGCAAGGCCUUGCGCGGACGGAGCGGCCGAUGGCAGAUUAGGUAGUUGGUGGGAUAAAAGCUUACCAAGCCGACGAUCUGUAGCUGGUCUGAGAGGAUGAUCAGCCACACUGGGACUGAGACACGGCCCAGACUCCUACGGGAGGCAGCAGUGGGGAAUUUUGGACAAUGGGCGCAAGCCUGAUCCAGCCAUGCCGCGUGCAGGAUGAAGGCCUUCGGGUUGUAAACUGCUUUUGUACGGAACGAAAAGCCUUCUUUUAAUACAGGAGGGUCAUGACGGUACCGUAAGAAUAAGCACCGGCUAACUACGUG
This 482-nucleotide ribosomal RNA is filed under the name uncultured bacterium. RNAcentral describes it as "partial 16S ribosomal RNA". It matches the Rfam family "Bacterial small subunit ribosomal RNA", at positions 30 to 507 of the family's 1533-position model. The record is from RNAcentral.